This is a non-coding RNA of Python bivittatus (Burmese python), 130 nucleotides long. The record is from RefSeq and is a predicted model, not a curated record. NCBI's taxonomy places the organism in Eukaryota, Metazoa, Chordata, Lepidosauria, Squamata, Pythonidae.
GAGAGAGAGAGAGAGAAGGAAGGAAGGAAGGAAGGAAGGAUUGCAAUAUAAGCAUCGAUUGCCAAUCUUGUGUCAUCAGUGAGUUAUCUGACAGUACCUCUAUUGCCAUGUUAUAUAUUCCUCUGUUUAU